RNAcentral lists this ribosomal RNA (254 nucleotides) under uncultured bacterium. RNAcentral's name for it is "partial 16S ribosomal RNA". It matches the Rfam family "Bacterial small subunit ribosomal RNA", at positions 524 to 777 of the family's 1533-position model. The record is from RNAcentral.
UACAGGGGGUGCAAACGUUGCUCGGAAUCGAUUGGCGUAAGCGCACGUAGGCGGUCUGUUAUGUCGGGAUGUGAAAGCCCUUGGCUUAACUGACGGAAGUGCAUCGAAACUGGCAGGCUAGAGUACGUAAGAGGCGAGUGGAAUUCCCGGUGUAGCGGUGAAAUGCGCAGAUAUCGGGAGGAACACCAAUGGCGAAGGCAGCUCUCUGGGACGGUACUGACGCUGAGACGCGAAAGCGUGGGGAGCGAACGAGG